AACGAACGCUGACGGCAGGCCUAACACAUGCAAGUCGAGCGAGGACUUCGGUCCUAGCGGCGGACGGGUGAGUAACGCGUGGGAACGUGCCCUUUGGUACGGAAUAGCCCCGGGAAACUGGGAGUAAUACCGUAUGGUGUCUUCGGACUAAAGAUUUAUCGCCAAAGGAUCGGCCCGCGUUGGAUUAGGUAGUUGGUGGGGUAAUGGCCUACCAAGCCGACGAUCCAUAGCUGGUUUGAGAGGAUGAUCAGCCACACUGGGACUGAGACACGGCCCAGACUCCUACGGGAGGCAGCAGUGGGGAAUCUUAGACAAUGGGGGCAACCCUGAUCUAGCCAUGCCGCGUGAGUGAUGAAGGCCCUAGGGUUGUAAAGCUCUUUCAGCUGGGAAGAUAAUGACGGUACCAGCAGAAGAAGCCCCGGCUAACUCCGUG
RNAcentral lists this ribosomal RNA (433 nucleotides) under uncultured bacterium. Its description in RNAcentral is "bacterial SSU rRNA". It matches the Rfam family "Bacterial small subunit ribosomal RNA", at positions 29 to 507 of the family's 1533-position model. The record is from RNAcentral.